Molecule: ribosomal RNA, 500 nt
Filed under: uncultured bacterium
Lineage: Bacteria
Description: bacterial SSU rRNA
Rfam family: Bacterial small subunit ribosomal RNA
Source: RNAcentral
GAUGAACGCUGGCGGCGUGCCUAACACAUGCAAGUCGGGCGAAGCGCUUAAGUCAGAAUCUUCGGAGGAAGACUUUUGUGACUGAGCGGCGGACGGGUGAGUAACGCGUGGGUAACCUGCCUUACACAGGGGGAUAACAGUUAGAAAUGACUGCUAAUACCGCAUAAGACCACAGUACUGCAUGGUACAGUGGUAAAAACUGAGGUGGUGUAAGAUGGACCCGCGUCUGAUUAGGUAGUUGGUGGGGUAAUGGCCCACCAAGCCGACGAUCAGUAGCCGGCCUGAGAGGGUGGACGGCCACAUUGGGACUGAGACACGGCCCAGACUCCUACGGGAGGCAGCAGUGGGGAAUAUUGCACAAUGGGGGAAACCCUGAUGCAGCGACGCCGCGUGAGCGAUGAAGUAUUUCGGUAUGUAAAGCUCUAUCAGCAGGGAAGAAAAUGACGGUACCUGACUAAGAAGCCCCGGCUAACUACGUGCCAUCAGCCGCGGUAAUACGU